UAUAACAGUUUUUGUCGUUUCUUUGUGCAAAGUUUCGACGCAAACAUUCAAAACCUAUCGGAUUAGAAUGCUAUUUUACGGUUACAAAAAGUUCCCAUCUUAUUUUAUAUUACGCUAUCUGACCAAGUCAGCUUGCGCACAUGGUCCUGCACGUCGAGAGACGUGAGACACACACUUCCGCACUUCCGAUGCAGCCUUUCAGUUCAACUGAACUGGAGAUGAUAGUACCUGUAGUCGACACCUGAGCUGUUCAGCAGUAAUUGUGCACACCUAACUAAAUCACGAUACAUAACCACUGCACACCAACGCAGGCAUUCAACCACUGAGCCCCGCUGUCAAACAGGCCCUCGCAAUGCUCUUGUUGCAUUGCAUAGUGACUCAGUCGCUACUUUCCACCAUUAGAGAUCAGUGAAAGGGAUUCUUGGCUUCUGUGUGAGACAUCUCUCUAACAGGUGCAGAGGAUAUUCAGACACCAAGUUGUAGGAAGGUGUUCGCAAAGCAAUGCAGGCAUGCGGUGUGAAAAAACCUGAGAUCUUCAAGGACGUUUUAUGUCGUGCUUAUGGCCAUCCGAAGAACCCACAAUGCCAAAUCGAUGGUGCACUUGACGUUGUCUGUAAUCAAAUUCAAACCAGUCCAGUCUAUUUCAUUGGAACAACCGCAAGAUUGAUAGACUUCAUGCAGAGGGAAAACAACCUCAUGGAACAACAUGCAAUGCUCACGAAAAUUGGAUAACAACUCAUGUGUCAAUUCUACCAUAAUAACUAACUAACUAACUAACUAACUAACUAACUAAAUAAAUAAAUAAACUUGAAAACAUGAUUUGUCUUGCAGAGACAGUUGAUCCAUACUAUCAGACAAAAAAAUUCAACAGCAAAAAAACUAAGAAGGUAAAUAAAAACCUGGAGAAACAGAUACUUAAAUGGCUUCCACGUAUCUCUACCAAGAAGUCCUUACAACUUAUCUUCUAGAACUAUAUUUUUUCAGAGACCAUCUUCACUUCGUUGGUGCCAUGGUCUUGUAGUUUUAGGGAAGGUCCAUGCUCAAGAUAACCCUCCGUCAUGGAGCAAUUCGACGUGAGGCUCAAACUACCAGUCUUGUCGAGAUCGAGCUUUGGUAUACUAACCAUCUUGCGGGACCUCUUCAUGUUGCCACUGGAAAUUGGUAAGAAGGAUUUGGGUCAGCACUAUGUUUUGCUUCAGCUUUAUGAAACGGUGCUUGAAGUUAUAUCGUGAGACCCACCGCAUGUUGUGUUGUAUUGCGUACGGUUAACGUUCUUAGACUCGAGGAUUGUGUGGGCCUGGGAGACAAUGGUGACACCCUUUCCGCUGCUUCAAUGCUCUGCAACUUGCCAGUACCGUGCUACUGUUCUGGGAUGCCAAGAAUAUGUGAAGUGAUACUGGGUCAAGAUACCCAGAAAAUUGUUGGGUGAGAUUUUGGGUUUAGACUCCGAGAUUGUGUGAGCUCCAUUCUUUUACUUUCUCUCGACGAAUUCCACUUCGCCUGGACCUCUUGUUUCCUCUUGAAACGCUUACAAUCGACCUGCAAAUGUGCAGUAACCCCAAGUCGAUUUACUCUUGUUCUGUCCACGUAAGGUAUCACGUUCAAUUUCAUCAAAAGCAACCGAUGCAUAUUCGCAUCGUUGCUUGAAGGAGGUACCUCACGGCCGAGGAAAAGCGUUCAGGAAGACACGAUGGGCUGCACCAAAACCCCUUAAUCAACGGCGGGGGUAUGGUAUUCGCUCUUGAAGACUAGUCCUGGGUUUCUAAUCAGGACAAUCAAUGUGGGUCAUUAGGUCUCGCUGAAAAUAAAAAUGACCU
RNAcentral lists this long non-coding RNA (1817 nucleotides) under Physcomitrium patens. RNAcentral describes it as "long non-coding RNA (PPAT_LNC011877)". The record is from RNAcentral. Lineage: Eukaryota; Viridiplantae; Streptophyta; Bryopsida; Funariales; Funariaceae.